RNAcentral lists this ribosomal RNA (416 nucleotides) under Streptococcus parasanguinis. RNAcentral's name for it is "bacterial SSU rRNA". It matches the Rfam family "Bacterial small subunit ribosomal RNA", at positions 28 to 433 of the family's 1533-position model. The record is from RNAcentral. Lineage: Bacteria; Bacillati; Bacillota; Bacilli; Lactobacillales; Streptococcaceae.
GAUGAACGCUGGCGGCGUGCCUAAUACAUGCAAGUAGAACGCUGAAGCUUGGUGCUUGCACCGAGCGGAUGAGUUGCGAACGGGUGAGUAACGCGUAGGUAACCUGCCUCUUAGCGGGGGAUAACUAUUGGAAACGAUAGCUAAUACCGCAUAAAAGUCGAUAUCGCAUGAUGUUGAUUUGAAAGGUGCAAUUGCAUCACUAAGAGAUGGACCUGCGUUGUAUUAGCUAGUUGGUGAGGUAACGGCUCACCAAGGCGACGAUACAUAGCCGACCUGAGAGGGUGAUCGGCCACACUGGGACUGAGACACGGCCCAGACUCCUACGGGAGGCAGCAGUAGGGAAUCUUCGGCAAUGGGGGCAACCCUGACCGAGCAACGCCGCGUGAGUGAAGAAGGUUUUCGGACUCGUAAAGCAU